GACGAACGCUGGCGGCGUGCUUAACACAUGCAAGUCGAACGGAAAGGCCCUGCUUUUGUGGGGUGCUCGAGUGGCGAACGGGUGAGUAACACGUGAGUAACCUGCCCUUGACUUUGGGAUAACUUCAGGAAACUGGGGCUAAUACCGGAUAGGAGCUCCUGCUGCAUGGUGGUGGUUGGAAAGUUUCGGCGGUUGGGGAUGGACUCGCGGCUUAUCAGCUUGUUGGUGGGGUAGUGGCUUACCAAGGCUUUGACGGGUAGCCGGCCUGAGAGGGUGACCGGCCACAUUGGGACUGAGAUACGGCCCAGACUCCUACGGGAGGCAGCAGUGGGGAAUAUUGCACAAUGGGCGGAAGCCUGAUGCAGCAACGCCGCGUGCGGGAUGACGGCCUUCGGGUUGUAAACCGCUUUCGCAUGUGACGAAGCGUGAGUGACGGUAAUGGGUAAAGAAGCACCGGCUAACUACGUG
RNAcentral lists this ribosomal RNA (468 nucleotides) under uncultured bacterium. Its description in RNAcentral is "partial 16S ribosomal RNA". It matches the Rfam family "Bacterial small subunit ribosomal RNA", at positions 28 to 507 of the family's 1533-position model. The record is from RNAcentral.